This 224-nucleotide long non-coding RNA is filed under the name Parus major (Great Tit). RNAcentral describes it as "lncRNA (ENSPMJG00000008758.1)". The record is from RNAcentral. Lineage: Eukaryota; Metazoa; Chordata; Aves; Passeriformes; Paridae.
CAUGAAAGCAAGAUUAAUGAAAGGAGUGUUGUCUCAGAGACCCCAUAGAGAGAGUACAGAGUGAGGCAAUAGAGAGACAAUCAAAGGUCGUGCCUGAGCCAAACCCACAUUCAGCAGAGCAGCAGGAGAUGGACCUUGGUGUGGAUAAACAGACUUGAAAUGAGCACACAUGCACCUGGUGAGCAUUUUCCACAACUGGUUGUAAAUGUUGCUAAGUCAUUGUG